Molecule: ribosomal RNA, 467 nt
Filed under: uncultured bacterium
Lineage: Bacteria
Description: partial 16S ribosomal RNA
Rfam family: Bacterial small subunit ribosomal RNA
Source: RNAcentral
GACGAACGCUGGCGGCGUGCUUAACACAUGCAAGUCGAACGGAAAGGCCCUGCUUUUGUGGGGUGCUCGAGUGGCGAACGGGUGAGUAACACGUGAGUAACCUGCCCUUGACUUUGGGAUAACUUCAGGAAACUGGGGCUAAUACCGGAUAGGAGCUCCUGCUGCAUGGUGGGGGUUGGAAAGUUUCGGCGGUUGGGGAUGGACUCGCGGCUUAUCAGCUUGUUGGUGGGGUAGUGGCUUACCAAGGCUUUGACGGGUAGCCGGCCUGAGAGGGUGACCGGCCACAUUGGGACUGAGAUACGGCCCAGACUCCUACGGGAGGCAGCAGUGGGGAAUAUUGCACAAUGGGCGGAAGCCUGAUGCAGCAACGCCGCGUGCGGGAUGACGGCCUUCGGGUUGUAAACCGCUUUCGCCUGUAACGAAGCGUGAGUGACGGUAAUGGGUAAAGAAGCACCGGCUAACUACGU